GGAAAAAUCAUAGGCGUAUCAGGCCUUUGGAAUUCAACAGUGCGGCUGAACCUAGGCCCUUUUCAGUGGCCUAAAGACCAGUCUCAGUCUUGCCUCACUCUCAGUCUUGCCUCAUCAGACACCGAGGAAUGUAUUAGACCAAACAGUGCUGAACUGUCAGUUUGAGAGUAAUAUUAGAGGUCUUUUCUCUCUCCAUCAUGUGGAAGCCAUCAUUGCCAUGAGAGAAAUAGAAGAAGGAAGGAAUUAUUCCCAGCUGGGAGAAGCAAGGAGUGCUUCCUGGAGGAAGUGGCAUCUAAACUGGACUUUGAUUAUGGUGUGGCUGGAGAGAAAGAGACUCAGCUCCCAUAUCUCCUCUUCUGUGACUAUUCGCUGUCCUCUUCGUGGCCAUCCAGCAGCUCUGCGCUCCAGGUUUCCUAUUCCGCUUUCCCAUGACACUCUGUCCACCCCUUCAGCCCUGGCCACAUUGUGCAGAGUCUACAUGUGUCAGUAACAACACCAAUGGUAACAGAGGAUACAGUCUCCAGAGCUCCCAGGACCAGCUGGAUUUUCCCUGCAACACUCCAUCACUUCCGUCAGAGAGCCCUGGACUGCAUGACCAAAAAGACCUUUUCUCUAGUGAAGAGCGUGGAGCCAGGCUGCCUGGGUUUGCAGCCUGGUUCUGCCAUGUAUCCAGCUGGGUGACCUUGGUUGGGAACAUUACCAGCCUCUCCGUGCCUCCGUUUUUCUCUUCUGGAAUAUGGGACAAUAAUCCCACCCAUUUCAUAAGUACUAUUAAAACUACCAUAAACCACCUGAGAAAAUGGAGGUCCCUGAGGCUAAGAGGAGAGGCUAAGAGCUAAGACGGAGGUUCAGUGAGUCAAUGAUAUGCGACACACUUAGUGCUUGGCAUAGAGGCGGUGUUCCAUACAGGCAUGCUUACUGUAUUCAUUUUAGGUGUGAACUCAGGAGUUUCCUAUGUCUUGGCAACUGUGUUGGAUAAAUGAGCAGAUUUUCCCAAGGUUCCUCCCAGUUCCAGCAUCCUCUAGUCUCAGCUGUCACUCAAUGGCCUGAGGGCAGGGCAGGACCCUUGGGCGGGGCAGGGGGUGGGCUCACCUCAGGGCAGCCCCAGCAGCAGCACAGCCUCCAAGUCUGUCUCGGGCACCCAGCACACAGAUGUUUCAGGUUAAAGCCUGUGACUGGAAAAACCAUCCUUCAAAACAACUUACUUUUAAACUUCUAGUACAUGAAUUAGAUCUUAAAAAAAAAAAAACAGAGAAGAAGAAAGAAAAGAAAAGGCAAAGUAACUGAUCUGUUUUGUGCCAGAGCUGUUUGGUCUCUCCAAACACUUAGUCCAGCCGCUCUCAUUGUCUGGGAUCAAAGCGUCUUCCCCACAGGCUGGCUUUGUUCUACUCUGAGUAGAACAGGCUGAAAGGAGAGCUCCUCCAGGCUUCCUGCCUCCCUCCCCCUGAACUUUGAGGGAACAAAGAGAUUUACAAGGCAAGGAUCCCAACUACAAGGUGCUAAUGAUCAGAAUCACACGUGUGCAGGUCUGGACGAGUGUUCCCAAGUCACAAGCCUUCCGGAAGGGGGAAGCGCUGCUGGGAGGAACCAGGAGCAGGCGGGCAGGGACCCAGGGCACCUGGGUCUGCCUCUUGGAAGGCAGAGCACUCCCACUCUAGGAGCAUCUCAUCCAGGAAGGAUGCCUGAUCCCCACGGAUACUCAGGGGCCUCUCCGGCUCCAGGGAUCAGGAGGCGCCACCCGGCAGAACGGGUCCCCUCUUGUGCAGCCCUGGGAAGUUAUUGUUUAGUCUCAGUCUGUGCCGGCAGUGGCAAAGGGUUUGCUGAGAAGGACAGAACACGGGCUCCGGAAGGAGUCCUGUUUAGCAUGAAUCAGAAUCACCUCCAGGGCUUGUUGAAAUAUAGAUUGCUAGGCCCCAGGCUCAGAGUUUCAGAUUCAGUAGAUCUGGGUAGAGCUUGGGAAUUUGCAUUUUGACAAGGUCCCAGAUGCUGCUGGUUUAGGGACCAUCCUUGAUGGCUGCUGCUCUGUACAACUUAUUCUCAGGUUGAGACACAGAAAACCACUCAAGGCCAGUUAUGGUCUCUUAUCUCAGCCUCUGGAUGCUUCUCCCCAAGGAUCCCGAGACCCUAUGAGCAAUGAAGCCGAGUGAGCGCUCACUGCCCACCUGGGUGACUGUUCUCCUGGGUACACACCAUGUCUCUGGGUCAGGGUGGAAACCUCGCAUCAGGGUUCACUGGAUAAUGUUGUGAAAAGCAGAAGGCAGCACUACGGCCAGCCAGAGCAGGAGACACUGCUAAGUAGACUCUCUGGCUCCUGCAAACCCACAUAGGAGCUGGGUGGCCAUGGCCAAGUCACUGAAACUUCACGAGGCUCUGCCUACUUACUGGAGAAUGAGGAAUGGUAGAUGACUCCUCCCCGAGUUGUUAGAGAUGCUGGAACCCAUAUACCACUCACAUCAGGCUCUGUGAUAACGUGAGUUUAAAAGACAACCUAAUCCGAGUGACUGAUCUGAUCUGAUCUGAAUCUAAGUGACCUGCACUUCAGUUCAGUUACUCAGUCAUGUCUGACUCGUUGCAAUCCCAUAGACAGCAGAACAUCAGGCUUCCCUGUCCACUACCAACUCCCGCAGCUUGCUCAAACUCAUGCCCAUCGAGUCAGCGAUGCCAUCCAACCUUCUUAUCCUCCGUCAUCCCCUUCUCCUCCUGCCCUCAAUCUCUCCCAGCAUCAGGGUCUUUUCUAAUGAGUCAGUUCUUCAUUAUCAGGUGGCCAAAGUAUUGGAGUUUCAGCUUCAGCAUCAGUUCUUCCAAUGCAUAUUCAGGAUGGAUUUCCUUUAGGAUUGACUGGUUUGAUCUCCUUGAAGUCCAAGGGACUCCCAAGAGUCUUCUCCAACACCACAGUUCAAAAAGCCUCUCUCACCUAAACACUUUCUGUCCUUUCUGUGAGCUCAGCUUUUGCCUGCAAUCCCUAUGGCUGAUUGCUGAUUCAUGUUGAUAUACGGCAGAAAGCAACACAAUAUUGUAAAGCAAUUAUCCCCCAA
Molecule: long non-coding RNA, 3035 nt
Organism: Bos taurus (domestic cattle)
Lineage: Eukaryota; Metazoa; Chordata; Mammalia; Artiodactyla; Bovidae
Source: Ensembl